This 254-nucleotide ribosomal RNA is filed under the name uncultured bacterium. Its description in RNAcentral is "partial 16S ribosomal RNA". It matches the Rfam family "Bacterial small subunit ribosomal RNA", at positions 524 to 776 of the family's 1533-position model. The record is from RNAcentral.
CACGUAGGGUGCGAGCGUUGUCCGGAAUUAUUGGGCGUAAAGAGCUCGUAGGCGGUGUGUCGCGUCGGCCGUGAAAACCUGCAGCUUAACUGUGGGCUUGCGGUCGAUACGGGCAUCACUGGAGUUCGGCAGGGGAGACUGGAAUUCCUGGUGUAGCGGUGAAAUGCGCAGAUAUCAGGAGGAACACCGGUGGCGAAGGCGGGUCUCGGGGCCGAUACUGACGCUGAGGAGCGAAAGCGUGGGGAGCGAACAGG